AAUCCAUAGGUUAAUGAGGCGAACCGGGGGAACUGAAACAUCUAAGUACCCCGAGGAAAAGAAAUCAACCGAGAUUCCCCCAGUAGCGGCGAGCGAACGGGGAGGAGCCCAGAGCCUGAAUCAGCAUGUGUGUUAGUGGAAGCGUCUGGAAAGGCGCGCGAUACAGGGUGACAGCCCCGUACACAAAAGCGCAUGUGCUGUGAGCUCGAUGAGUAGGGCGGGACACGUGGUAUCCUGUCUGAAUAUGGGGGGACCAUCCUCCAAGGCUAAAUACUCCUGACUGACCGAUAGUGAACCAGUACCGUGAGGGAAAGGCGAAAAGAACCCCGGCGAGGGGAGUGAAAAAGAACCUGAAACCGUGUACGUACAAGCAGUGGGAGCACAGGUUUACCUGUGUGACUGCGUACCUUUUGUAUAAUGGGUCAGCGACUUAUAUUCUGUAGCAAGGUUAACCGUAUAGGGGAGCCGUAGGGAAACCGAGUCUUAACCGGGCGUUAAGUUGCAGGGUAUAGACCCGAAACCCGGUGAUCUAGCCAUGGGCAGGUUGAAGGUUGGGUAACACUAACUGGAGGACCGAACCGACUAAUGUUGAAAAAUUAGCGGAUGACCUGUGGCUGGGGGUGAAAGGCCAAUCAAACCGGGAGAUAGCUGGUUCUCCCCGAAAGCUAUUUAGGUAGCGCCUCGUGAAUUCAUCUCCGGGGGUAGAGCACUGUUUCGGCUAGGGGGCCAUCCCGGCUUACCAACCCGAUGCAAACUGCGAAUACCGGAGAAUGUUAUCACGGGAGACACACGGCGGGUGCUAACGUCCGUCGUGAAGAGGGAAACAACCCAGACCGCCAGCUAAGGUCCCAAAGUCAUGGUUAAGUGGGAAACGAUGUGGGAAGGCCCAGACAGCCAGGAUGUUGGCUUAGAAGCAGCCAUCAUUUAAAGAAAGCGUAAUAGCUCACUGGUCGAGUCGGCCUGCGCGGAAGAUGUAACGGGGCUAAACCAUGCACCGAAGCUGCGGCAGCGAACGUAUCACCCAAGACAACUUUGCGGAGUUGACGAUUGACGGAGCGAAGCGACGUCAAAGCGUUCAUUAAAGUCGAGUUGGCUUAGGGAUACGUUCGUUGGGUAGGGGAGCGUUCUGUAAGCCUGUGAAGGUGGCCUGUGAGGGUUGCUGGAGGUAUCAGAAGUGCGAAUGCUGACAUAAGUAACGAUAAAGCGGGUGAAAAGCCCGCUCGCCGGAAGACCAAGGGUUCCUGUCCAACGUUAAUCGGGGCAGGGUGAGUCGACCCCUAAGGCGAGGCCGAAAGGCGUAGUCGAUGGGAAACGGGUUAAUAUUCCCGUACUUGGUGUUACUGCGAAGGGGGGACGGAGAAGGCUAUGUUGGCCGGGCGACGGUUGUCCCGGUUUAAGCGUGUAGGUGUGUGUUCCAGGUAAAUCCGGUUCACUUUAACACUGAGGCGUGACGACGAGGCACUACGGUGCUGAAGCAACAAAUGCCCUGCUUCCAGGAAAAGCCUCUAAGCAUCAGGUAACAUCAAAUCGUACCCCAAACCGACACAGGUGGUCAGGUAGAGAAUACCAAGGCGCUUGAGAGAACUCGGGUGAAGGAACUAGGCAAAAUGGUGCCGUAACUUCGGGAGAAGGCACGCUGACACGUAGGUGAAGUGAUUUACUCAUGGAGCUGAA
RNAcentral lists this ribosomal RNA (1674 nucleotides) under Salmonella enterica subsp. enterica serovar Muenchen. RNAcentral's name for it is "partial 23S ribosomal RNA". It matches the Rfam family "Bacterial large subunit ribosomal RNA", at positions 161 to 1781 of the family's 2925-position model. The record is from RNAcentral. Lineage: Bacteria; Pseudomonadati; Pseudomonadota; Gammaproteobacteria; Enterobacterales; Enterobacteriaceae.